Molecule: ribosomal RNA, 433 nt
Filed under: uncultured bacterium
Lineage: Bacteria
Description: partial 16S ribosomal RNA
Rfam family: Bacterial small subunit ribosomal RNA
Source: RNAcentral
AACGAACGCUGGCGGCAUGCCUAACACAUGCAAGUCGAACGAGACCUUCGGGUCUAGUGGCGCACGGGUGCGUAACGCGUGGGAACCUGCCCUUAGGUUCGGAAUAACUCCCCGAAAGGGGUGCUAAUACCGGAUAAUGUCUUCGGACCAAAGAUUUAUCGCCUUUGGAUGGGCCCGCGUUGGAUUAGCUAGUUGGUAGGGUAAAAGCCUACCAAGGCGACGAUCCAUAGCUGGUCUGAGAGGAUGAUCAGCCACACUGGGACUGAGACACGGCCUAGACUCCUACGGGAGGCAGCAGUGGGGAAUAUUGGACAAUGGGCGAAAGCCUGAUCCAGCAAUGCCGCGUGAGUGAUGAAGGCCUUAGGGUUGUAAAGCUCCUUUACCCGGGAUGAUAAUGACAGUACCGGGAGAAUAAGCUCCGGCUAACUCCGUG